This 495-nucleotide ribosomal RNA is filed under the name uncultured bacterium. Its description in RNAcentral is "partial 16S ribosomal RNA". It matches the Rfam family "Bacterial small subunit ribosomal RNA", at positions 28 to 507 of the family's 1533-position model. The record is from RNAcentral.
GACGAACGCUGGCGGCGUGCCUAAUACAUGCAAGUAGAACGCUGAAGGAGGAGCUUGCUUCUCCGGAUGAGUUGCGAACGGGUGAGUAACGCGUAGGUAACCUGCCUGGUAGCGGGGGAUAACUAUUGGAAACGAUAGCUAAUACCGCAUAACAGUAGAUAUUGCAUGAUAUCUGCUUGAAAGGUGCAAUUGCAUCACUACCAGAUGGACCUGCGUUGUAUUAGCUAGUUGGUGAGGUAACGGCUCACCAAGGCGACGAUACAUAGCCGACCUGAGAGGGUGAUCGGCCAAGCUGGGACUGGAACACGGCCCAGAAUCCUGCGGGAGGGAGCAGUAGGAAAUCUUCGGCAAUGGACGGAAGUCUGAACGAGCAACGCCGCGUGAGUGAAGAAGGUUUUCGGGUCGUGAAGCUCUGUUGUGAGAGAAGAACGAGUGUGAGUGUGGAAAGUUCACACUGUGACGGUAUCUUACCAGAAAGGGACGGCUAACUACGUG